CCUAAACGAAGCCUGGCUGUAAACGAAGAAGAGCCCAGUGUGUGGGAUGAGGAUUUGGUUCCCCUGUAGCUCGAACCCGCCCUGGGAAAAAGCCUGGCCGUCAUCCUUUCUCCACUGCACGGUGUCAGUGGUAAGAUUAGGAUUGUAUUCACCUGGCAGUAGAGGGAAGAAAGGCUCAUUGUUACAACUUUGAGGUCCCAGAUCCAACUGAAUGGACUUCUGCCAGAAGCCCUGUCGUUUUUAUGCCCGGCCUGCUACUAGCACAAAAGGGGAAACUCCAGUGAUGUCACCCAGUGAGUGGAGACAUAGCAGAGCAGCAGCAGCAAACUGGCUGUGGAGAGUUGGUUAUGGUUCAAAGGAAAAUAAAAUCCACAGACCAGCUCCACCAAACUGGGAUUCCAAUGGAACUGGUUUCGUACAUCACCCUUUCCAAACCACCAAACAGGUUUUUGACUUCUCCAUGUUGACCCAAUCUGGCUUCCUUAUUUCGCUGCCCUCCCUGACUGGUUGAGCGAGUUCGGAGCACAACACGGUUUAUUUGUGGGAUUUCCAUCACCUGAUCUGAGUUUUGUUUGCAUAUUGUUUCAUCUAAUUCCUGUUUCUGUUAAAUCAGUUAUCAAUUAGUGAUAAACAAGCACUGUAUACCAUGGUUACAACUCUCAUUUUGAUAUCAUAUUUGGAACGUAUUUGCAUCCAUAGCUCUGUCUAUUAAUUUGAGAGUGGUUAUACUUAAGUUUGAAUUCUCUGUUGUUUCUUGCUUUCUUCUUGUCACGUUCCUGACCUUAUUUCCUUUGUUCAGUCUUGUUUAGUUGGUCAGGACGUGAGCUGGGUGGGCAUUCUAUGUUAUGUGUUUCUAUGUUGGGUUUAUUGUUUGGCCUAAUAUGGUUCUCAAUUAAAGGCAGGUGUUUGUCAUUGUCUCUGAUUGGGAACCAUAUUAAGGUUGACUGUUUUCACUGUUUGUUUGUGGGUGAUUGUUGCCGUGUCUGUGUUUGUUCGCCACACGGUACUGUUUUCGUUCGUUUGUUAUUUUGUCACGUGUUUUUCGUCUUCGUUUAAUAAUUAAAGUAUGUCUUCAAACCACGCUGCGCUUUGGUCCGAUCCUUGCUCCUCCUCAGACGAGGAGGAUUACGACGAGCGUUAAACUUCUUUAUUAAUUUUUUUGUAAAGGGUAUUGAGGCUUUUGUUAAAUGCACUUUUAAAUAAACUGUGAUUUGAUGAUU
This is a long non-coding RNA of Salvelinus fontinalis (brook trout), 1220 nucleotides long. RefSeq lists it as uncharacterized. The record is from RefSeq and is a predicted model, not a curated record. The transcript is spliced from 3 exons. Lineage: Eukaryota; Metazoa; Chordata; Actinopteri; Salmoniformes; Salmonidae.